UCCAGACUCCUACGGGAGGCAGCAGUGAGGAAUAUUGGUCAAUGGCCGGGAGGCUGAACCAGCCAAGUCGCGUGAGGGAAGACGGCCCUACGGGUUGUAAACCUCUUUUGUCAGGGAGCAAGGUGCAGGUCGGGACCUGCUGUGAGAGUACCUGAAGAAAAAGCAUCGGCUAACUCCGUGCCAGCAGCCGCGGUAAUACGGAGGAUGCGAGCGUUAUCCGGAUUUAUUGGGUUUAAAGGGUGCGUAGGCGGUCCGUUAAGUCAGCGGUAAAAUUGGGGGGCUCAACCCCGUCGAGCCGUUGAAACUGGCAGACUUGAGUUGGCGAGAAGUACGCGGAAUGCGCGGUGUAGCGGUGAAAUGCAUAGAUAUCGCGCAGAACUCCGAUUGCGAAGGCAGCGUACCGGCGCCAGACUGACGCUGAGGCACGAAAGCGUGGGGAUCGAACAGGAUUAGAUACCCGUGUAA
RNAcentral lists this ribosomal RNA (465 nucleotides) under uncultured bacterium. Its description in RNAcentral is "bacterial SSU rRNA". It matches the Rfam family "Bacterial small subunit ribosomal RNA", at positions 330 to 793 of the family's 1533-position model. The record is from RNAcentral.